RNAcentral lists this small RNA (88 nucleotides) under Salmonella enterica subsp. enterica serovar Muenchen. RNAcentral describes it as "partial RtT sRNA". It matches the Rfam family "RtT RNA", at positions 1 to 87 of the family's 130-position model. From Rfam's summary of the family: This family represents a bacterial cis-regulatory element known as RtT RNA. The exact function of RtT is unknown although it is thought that it may be involved in changing the cellular response in relation to amino acid starvation. The record is from RNAcentral. Lineage: Bacteria; Pseudomonadati; Pseudomonadota; Gammaproteobacteria; Enterobacterales; Enterobacteriaceae. RNAcentral also lists the same sequence under 4 other names.
AUAUCUCUCUGUACGGGAAGGAUGAGAAGCUUCGACUAAGGUUCGAUUCGAGCGCAGCGAGAAAGCGUUGCCGCAGGCAACGACCCGA